GAACGCUGGCGGCGUGCCUAACACAUGCAAGUCGAACGGAGUUAAGACUUCGGUUUUAACUUAGUGGCGAACGGGUGAGUAACGCGUGAGAAACCUGCCUUUCAGUGGGGGACAACAGUUGGAAACGACUGCUAAUACCGCAUAAUGUUAUUUGGGGGCAUCCUUGAAUAACCAAAGCUUUAUGUGCUGAAAGAUGGUCUCGCGUCUGAUUAGCUAGUUGGUGAGGUAACGGCUCACCAAGGCGACGAUCAGUAGCCGGUCUGAGAGGAUGAACGGCCACAUUGGGACUGAGAUACGGCCCAGACUCCUACGGGAGGCAGCAGUGGGGAAUAUUGGGCAAUGGGGGAAACCCUGACCCAGCAACGCCGCGUGAAGGAAGAAGGCCUUCGGGUUGUAAACUUCUUUUACCAGGGACGAAGAACGUGACGGUACCUGGAGAAAAAGCAACGGCUAACUACGUG
Molecule: ribosomal RNA, 461 nt
Filed under: uncultured bacterium
Lineage: Bacteria
Description: bacterial SSU rRNA
Rfam family: Bacterial small subunit ribosomal RNA
Source: RNAcentral